RNAcentral lists this transfer RNA (71 nucleotides) under Heterocephalus glaber (naked mole-rat). It matches the Rfam family "tRNA". From Rfam's summary of the family: Transfer RNA (tRNA) molecules are approximately 80 nucleotides in length. The record is from Rfam by way of RNAcentral. Lineage: Eukaryota; Metazoa; Chordata; Mammalia; Rodentia; Bathyergidae.
GGGGACAUAGCUCAGUGGCACAGUGCUUGCCUAACAUGCAUGAAACCUGGGUUUGAUCCCUAGUGCCACAA